This 5833-nucleotide long non-coding RNA is filed under the name Macaca fascicularis (crab-eating macaque). RNAcentral's name for it is "lncRNA (ENSMFAG00000049283.1)". Lineage: Eukaryota; Metazoa; Chordata; Mammalia; Primates; Cercopithecidae. The record is from RNAcentral.
GGCAUGCACUUGUAAUCCCAGCUACUCCAGAGGCUGAGGUGUAAGGAUUGCUUGAGCUAGGAGGUCAAGGCUUCAGUGAGCUGUGAUCGCACCACUGCACUCCAGCCUUGGCAACAGAGUGAGACCCCGUCUCAAGAAAAAAAAAAAAAGUUGAAUGAGCUGUGGCAACUCACUAGCCUAAUUAUUCCUCCUCUUCUUUCCUUCUUUGGAAAACUUCUUUCAGACAAAUUUUUAUUCAGAAUCCAACUUCUAAAAUGUUAAAAAGUGGUGCUGCUCUGUCUGAAGUUGGAAGAUGGGGGUAGAUGUGUGUGCAGCGUUCCAUAAGUCCCCGAAGGUCUCCUUUCUGUCUCCAAAUGCUGAAGGGCUUUGGAAACAGUUUGAAAGCUGGGGACAGUUGAGGAGAGGAGGCCAUGGCUGCCCAAGGCCACCCAGCUAGCUGGUUUCAGUCUAAGGACCAGACCCUGCUGCCCAUCUUCAACUAAAGAUUAACACAGGUUGCUUUGCAAGGUUGGCCUGCUGUGUUAACAUACCCACUGGCAGCCAGGUGCAGUGGCUCCUGCCUGUAAUCCCAGCACUUUGGGAGGCCAAGGUGGGCAGAUCACUAGGUUAAGAGAUCGAGACCAUCUUGGCCAACACGGUGAAACCCCAUCUCUACUAAAAAAUUCAAAAAUUAGCUGGAUGUGGUGGUGUACGCCUGUAAUCCCAGCUACUUGGGAGGCUGAGGCAAGAGAAUCACUUGAACCCACGAGGCAGAGGUUGCAGUGAGCUGAGAUCAUGCCACUACACUCCAGCCUGGCGAAAGAGUGAGACUCCAUCUCAAAAAAAAAAAAAAAAAAGAUACCCACUGGCUCAAAGGGUAGCUUGGCAGAGUUACUAUGUUGAAAUAUUGCCUUGCAGGUGCCCUACCCUGGGUGGCACAAUUCCAUGGGCCCUGUUCCUGUCGUGUGCUAUGGAGUUGGCUUUAGGGGGUUGCUACUCAUAUACAUUAGGUAGAUAGAUGGUGUCUUCUAAAGUGACAAAGGUCCAAGAACCCACUGAUUUUGGAAUCAAGGUGAAGUCGGGCCCUGAAGGAGCAGAUUAGUCAGUCUCCAGCAUGAAAGUGACAGCCUGUGAGCAAAAGUCUUCCAACCUGAGGUGGCAGACCACAACAGUGACCCUUCCAAUUAGCACAUGUGUCCUGGGCCUAGCUCUGGAAGCUGUCAUGGUAGACAUGAGAUGGGAGGAUGGGUGGCAUGGACCCCAAAGAAAGAGAGCUGGGAGAUUUGGUCUCUGUGCUUGGGGCUGGAGAAUGCGGGCCUGAGGACCCCAGUCGAAUGGAAGUGUGAGACUGUGGAUCAUGACUGGAUGCUGGAGGGUGCUUCCUGGCCUAUUCACAGCAUCACCUUUGAUGCCCCCAAGCCCUCUGAGGCAGGUACGACUCAGAGCGUAGUUUUUCCAUUUUGCAAAUUAGGAGACUGAAGUUCAGAGACUUGUUGGAGAUCACAGCAGCACUGGGCCAUUUGGACCUAGAGCUGUUCUCCCUUCCGAGUCAGUGCGUGAUGCCAGAGAACAUCCCUGGGUGAGGUUUGAAGAGAGUGGCCAGAGAGACUUUUCUAUCUGGGGAGUGUGAGGUCCACAUUUCCUGCAGGGCUUCCCCACUUACAGUGUCUCUCAGCCUCACUGAUGACCUGCACCUGGCUGGAGUUCUUUUGGUCCCUUCCCUACCUCAAGAACCGAUUUGACUGCUCCCAUUUACAGGGAAGGAACUAAGAAGAAAAGAAAACACUCCUAAACAUGAAAGAAAUCACAGUCUUUCUCCGGAACUAAAGGCUUUUACAGGAGUGCAGGGGGAAAAAAUCUGAUCAUUCUUGGCAGCUCUUGAACAAAUUAGAGUGUUGGAAGAAUGGAUGAAAGAGUGAGGGGUGUGUUGGAGUGUGGAACAGUUGCACAGUCCUAACGAAACAAGGAAGGCUUCCCCAGUGAGUGCCUGUCCCCUGCUACGUCUGUGAAGUCAGGGGUAACACUGGAGUCUGAUGCUGGGAAACAACCAUUGCCCUUUCAAUCUCAGCUUGAACCACAUUUCCCCAGGGACUCUUCUCCAAUCCCUACACUAGGCUAGCCCCUUUAUUUUGUGGUCUUUGUGUCCCCUGUACUUGACCUUUGUAACCCAGAUUGUCCUUGUAAUUCUUUGUCCAGUACCUGUCUCCCUGUUUUGACUGUGAACUCCGUAAGGGCACAGGCUUUGUCUACCUUGUUUGCCACUUGUACUCCUUAGGAAUCUUUUAGGUACAAUAAACAGAAGAUCCAAACCAAGGUGAACUAGCAAAAAUGAACUUUUGGUUCUGCCCAAGGGUAGAGUUAGUUUCAGGCUAGGUUGGAUUUAGGGGUUCUGAAUAAGCCAGCCAGAUUUGAUCUCUUUCCCUCUCUUGGAUCUACUUUGUCUUUCUCUUUGUGUUGGUGUCAUUCUCAGGGUUCUCAUGGUGCUGUUAUGGCUGUCCUGUUUCUUACCCAGAUGCUUUCAGGAAAGAGUAAGCUCCUCUUCCUGGUGACUACAGCAAAAUUCCCAAGACUAACUCUGUUUGGCUUGGCUUGAGUAAUAUGUCCAUCCUGAACCAAUCACUGCAGCCCAGACAGCAUGGUGCUCUGAUUGGCCAGUGUAGCACACAUGGAUCAUUGUUCACCCAAAAGCUAUCCCCUCUUCUUCCUUGAUAACAAGAACCCAUCAGGUAUCUUUUUGUUUUGUUUUUUGUUUUUUGCCCACCUCUUGAUACUCAUUAGAUAUCAAGAGUUGGGCAAGAUGCUCACAGAAGGUGACCUCUUCCCAAUCCAGGAAACUAUUCAUGGUAAUCCCAUUCCCUUUUGGCGGGAAUUGGUUUAAAAGGGUGCAUUGUAGGCUGUGCGUGGUGACUCAUGCCUGUAAUCCCAGCACUGUGGGAGUGCGAGGUGGGCUGAUCACUUGAGGUCAGGAGUUCAAGACCAGCUUGGCCAACAUGGUGAAACCCUAUCUCUACUAAAAAUACAAAAAUUAGCCAGGCAUGGUGGUGCACGCCUGUAAUCCCAGCUACUCAGGAGGCUGAAGCAGGAGACUCGUUUACACCCGGAAGGCGGGGGUUGCAGUGAACCGAGAUUGUGCCAUUGCAUUCCAGCCUGGGCAACAGAGUGAGACUCCAUCUGAAAAAAAACAAAACAAAACAAGGUGCAUUGCCCCACUUCUGACAAAGAGGACACAAUGCAAAGUGUACUGGAGAAAUGCUCCUCUCUGGCAAGUCAGAUAUGUAGGGGUGGGGCUAGCUGCCUGCCCAACCCUUCUUGCCUUUGGAUAUUGUUGUAAGGGGAUGGAAGUUUGGAGUCAUCUUGCAACCAUGAGGUGAGAUAAUGCUAAUAUAUGAAGGUUGGCAGAGUGGGAAAAUGUCUACCCCUGGCUAUUUUGUUGUUUUACUUCUACUAGCAUGUACCUGUGCCUUAAAAAAAGAGGAAAAAAUGCUGUACACAGGCUCCUGGAACCCCUUUGCCUGCACGUGAAGUGUCAGAAAUGCCUGGGCUUUACAUUUCUACCAGGGCAGGCUUUACCCGUAACUGUCUGAUGCAGAAGUCUGAAAGCCUAGCACCUUUGCUUUGAAUUGGGACAAACUCUGAGGCAUGCUUUACACUCCAGAGCUUGCUGAAGGAUCGGGCUGAGGCCUGGACUUUGCUUGAAAUCAACCUUUGAAUGGAGUUUUCCCUUCCCUGUCCUGCUCCCCCCACCCCCACCCCCUGCCAGACGCCCCUGGGAGCACUUCCUUAAUCAAUCGCUUGCACACAAAUCGUUAGCUUCUUCUGGGGGACUUGUCGUAUCACCAGGGCUUACACAUCACAGCUGCUCUGUAAAUAUUUGUUGCCUGAGUGAAUGAAUACAUGAAUGGAUGAACAAGCUGGGGAAAUCACAGGCAGGUGGAAUCUGAACAGGUUAUUAUACUAAUUACAGGCUGUCUACUUUUUUUCCCUUUGCCUCUGUGAAACAGGUUGGCCCUUUGGGGAAUUUCCCCAAAGCUUUUGAAGCAGACAAGGUGUCUUCUCACUAGGCUCAUAUGCUUCCUAAUUGGGCAGGCCAUUAGAAAAUGAGGUCAUCUCCCCAGGGAAGGAGGAGGGGCCUUAUCACUCAGGACAAGGGCCCUAGGGUGGGGACAAAACUGCCUGAACAUCUGCAAUGUCCAUUGUUACUUGAGCAGCUGGAGGGAAUGACCAUUCUGGAAUAAAUCAACUAAACCUUUGACCUGAACUCCAGUUUAAUUCACUCUUCCCCUCCAUUAGCUAGUGUAAGGGAUGGUGGGGGGGCAGAAGGGGAGGGAUAACAUAUUUUAUUUUUAUGGCAUUUUUAUUCCAAAUGACCUGUUGGGUCAAACCCACUUUCCUUUCAUGAAUUAUGCAUUAGAGGAGCCCUUUUGCUUUCCUAAUGGCUUUAGUUGAUUUCACCUCCCAGAAAGAUAAAACAAAAAAUCAAGAAUUUCAAUUAAAAAGUUCACCUCUUGCCAUAUCAAUUGACAUGGUUUUAAUUGGGUCAUUCCAUAAAGAGUCUCUGUUGGUACAAUUUUCAAGCUUCCUAGGCUCUUAGAAAUCAUCCAGCUCCAUCCCCAUAUUUCAGGAGGGAGGAUAAAGAACCUGGAGAUGAGAAAUGACAGGCCCAAGUUCACACAGUUAGUGAGUGUCAACAGCUAUUAAGGGAAAGAGAUGGGAAUAUAUGCUACUCACUUUAUUUCCAGUCCAGUGUUCUUUUGUGCAAAGAAACCUAGAGAGGUAAUAUAGUUGCCAUGGGUGCAGAACAAAUUGCUCCAAAACCUAGUGGCAUGAAACAAUCACUCGUGGAUUCUGUGGAUUGGGAAUUCGAUAGGGCAAAUGCUUCUCCAUGUUUCUUGAUGUCUGCGGACUGAGCUGAAAGGGCCAAACGCUUGGGGCUGGGUUCAUCUGAAGACCUGUUCAUUCGCAUGAGUAGAUGCUGUCUGUUGACUGACUGAGGCUUUAGCUGGAGUCGUUGGCUAGAACCUCUAUAUGUGGCCUCUCCAUGUGGUCUGGGCUUCCUCACAACAUAGUGACUGGAUUCCAAGGGGGAGAGUCCUGAGAAAAAGAGAGAGAGAGCGAAAUAAAGAUUGGUGGAAACUUCCAUUAAAGUCACUCAGUGUCACUUCCACAACAUUCUGUUGGUCAUAGCAGUCCAAUAAGUUUCAAGGACAGGGAAUGCAGACCCUGCGUCUCAAUGGAAUAGUGUUAGUCACAUUGAAAGAGAGCAUAUUGAAGCCAUCUUUGGAAAAUACAAUCUGCCACAAGAGAGUUAGGGCUAGUACCCAUUAAGUUUGGCUGAAUUGUUCAUUUAGUAUCUGUCUUUCCUAUUGGAUUAUAAUUUCCUAAAAGGCAAGGCGUGUGUCUGUCUUGUUUGCUGGCAUGCCUGUGUCCAGCACAGGUGCCGCUGACUCAGAGUAAGAAGUUAAUACAUUUUUGUUUGGAAAGUACAUAUCAAAAAGAAAGUCUUCAUUGGCUAAAAAUAUACUCAAAUAUUUCCCUCUCCUCUUCACAGUAGACUUUCCUAUUCAUCAAGAACUUGAUGACCGGGUGCGGUGGCUCAUUCAUGUAAUCCCAGCACUUUGGGAGGCUGAGGAAGAUGGAUCAUUUGAGGCCAGGAGUUUGAGAUCAGCCUGGCCAGCAUGGAGAAAUAUUAUCUCUACUAAAAAUACAAAAACUAUCCAGGCGUGGUGGCAGGCGCCUGUAGUCCAGCUACUAAGGAGGCCGAGGCAGGAGAAUUGCUUGAACCCGGGAGGCAGAGGUUACAGUGAGCCAAGAUCAUGCCACUGCACUCCAGCCUGGGUGACAGAACAAGGUUCCA